GCCGCGUGAGUGAUGAAGUUUUCGGAUCGUAAAGCUCUGUGUUAGGGAAGAACAAGUGCCGUUCGAAUAGGUCGGCACCUUGACGGUACCUAACCAGAAAGCCACGGCUAACUACGUGCCAGCAGCCGCGGUAAUACGUAGGUGGCAAGCGUUGUCCGGAAUUAUUGGGCGUAAAGCGCGCGCAGGCGGUACUUUUAAGUCUGAUGUGAAAGCCCACGGCUCAACCGUGGAGGGUCAUUGGAAACUGGGAGACUUGAGUACAGAAGAGGAGAGUGGAAUUCCACGUGUAGCGGUGAAAUGCGUAGAUAUGUGGAGGAACACCAGUGGCGAAGGCGACUCUCUGGUCUGUAACUGACGCUGAGGCGCGAAAGCGUGGGGAGCAAACAGGAUUAGAUACCCUGGUAGUCCACGCCGUAAACGAAGAGUGCUAGGUGUUAGGGGUUUCGAUGCCCUUAGUGCCGAAGUUAACACAUUAAGCACUCCGCCUGGGGAGUACGACCGCAAGGUUG
RNAcentral lists this ribosomal RNA (509 nucleotides) under uncultured Bacillota bacterium. RNAcentral's name for it is "bacterial SSU rRNA". It matches the Rfam family "Bacterial small subunit ribosomal RNA", at positions 396 to 896 of the family's 1533-position model. The record is from RNAcentral. Lineage: Bacteria; Bacillati; Bacillota.